This 212-nucleotide long non-coding RNA is filed under the name Gossypium raimondii (Peruvian cotton). RNAcentral describes it as "long non-coding RNA (GRAI_LNC004150)". Lineage: Eukaryota; Viridiplantae; Streptophyta; Magnoliopsida; Malvales; Malvaceae. The record is from RNAcentral.
UAUUUUUAAAUAUUACGAAGUCAUAUAUUCAAACAAAUAAUUAUGUUAGAUUCAUUAAAUAAAUAUUAAAAAAAGAAAAAAUGUAAAAAUAAAAGAAAUAUUUACAUAAUAAAUUUUAAGAAAGUAAAAAUUAACAUAAAAAUUUAAAAUUGUCGCAAUCCUGGGGACGUCCUCGGCGCUGGCGUGUAACGAUCCGGAUGCCCCCGUCGGCG